CAUGAAGUUUUUCUUUGUGGUGUUGUGGGGUGUGUGGGACCCAAGCUUUGGAGGUAAGCGUGUUAACAGGUGUGACGCAGGAAGGUAGCCAAGCCACGCGGUGGUUGUCGUGGUCUAAGCGUGUAGGAUGACUGGUUGUUAAAUGCGCCGGUUGUGUGUCUGAGACGUGAUGGGACCCCUUGUUUGUGGGGGAUUUGGUGAUCCUAUGCUGCCGAGAAAAGCAUCGGCGUGAGGUUUUAGCUGCCCGUACCCGAAACCGACACAGGUGAUCAGGUAGAGAAUACUAAGGCGAUCGAGAGAAUCAUGGUUAAGGAACUCGGCAAAAUGCCCCCGUAACUUCGGGAGAAGGGGGGCCCUGAGCGUGAUCUGCCCGUGCGGUGGGGAGCGUGUAGGGGUCGCAGAGACCAGGGGGAAGCGACUGUUUACUAAAAACACAGGUC
RNAcentral lists this ribosomal RNA (440 nucleotides) under Acetobacter fabarum. RNAcentral's name for it is "bacterial LSU rRNA". It matches the Rfam family "Bacterial large subunit ribosomal RNA", at positions 1358 to 1821 of the family's 2925-position model. The record is from RNAcentral. Lineage: Bacteria; Pseudomonadati; Pseudomonadota; Alphaproteobacteria; Acetobacterales; Acetobacteraceae.